This 75-nucleotide antisense RNA is filed under the name Mycobacterium marinum M. RNAcentral describes it as "ASpks TB sRNA". It matches the Rfam family "ASpks TB sRNA". The record is from Rfam by way of RNAcentral. Lineage: Bacteria; Bacillati; Actinomycetota; Actinomycetes; Mycobacteriales; Mycobacteriaceae.
UUUGAGCGAACCCAACCACAGCGGCCGUCCCUCUGGCCGGUGCUGACCGUAUGUCGCCAUCAGCGCCUCGGCCUC